This 416-nucleotide long non-coding RNA is filed under the name Phasianus colchicus (ring-necked pheasant). Its description in RNAcentral is "lncRNA (ENSPCLG00000022281.1)". The record is from RNAcentral. Lineage: Eukaryota; Metazoa; Chordata; Aves; Galliformes; Phasianidae.
CGAAUACUGGCUUGUCUGUUGACCAUUUAAAGCAUCUUUUUGUUCCUCCACUGGAUUUUUUUUUUCCUCAGCCAUUGCAGAAGAAAUAUAAAUAUUCCUUAGCACCAGCCAGAAGGAAAAGAAUCAAGAACAGACAAUCUGUAAGAGACUUCCACUGGAUUCAUGUCAUGAAUCUGCUGUUACAGUGAAGUGAAUCAUGGGAACAAUUAUAUAGAGAGCCAUUUGGCAUGCCAUCACUGCAAAGGAGAUACGCAUUUUUGACAGCAUUUGGACAGAAAUAGCACAGAUCAGAUCAUCUCAGUGUGGUCUUGAAGACAGAAUGGCCUCUAUCCAUAAUAAAUGCGGUCUUAAAGAAUUUUCUGAUGAAAAUGAUCUUCAAAUGCAGGAGUUGCAGGGCACUCCUUAACCUUCCUGAA